GGGGGUGUAAUGGUUUCGACAGGGUCGCAGAGACUUAGGGAGCGAGCCGCGGCGGGAUACGCGUAAAAAUCCCAAACUUUAAAAUUAAACGCUAACAAUAAUAGAGUAGCUUUAGCUGCCUAAGCGCAGCUUGUCCUCCCGCGCCUACCGCACGCGCGGCUAAGGGCAUCAACAAUUGCGGUGAACGUGAACCGUGAAAGCUUUGACACGGUCACGCAUUAAUGAAGCUACUAAGCACGGCGCCUUGUCAAUGGGACGCCGCGCGAGGGAAACCUAACCAUUGACUACGCUCGUAGCCGCCUUAAGGGGAUGCUUCUUUGGACAGGAGUUCGAUUCUCCUCACCUCCACCA
RNAcentral lists this transfer-messenger RNA (351 nucleotides) under Monoglobaceae. RNAcentral describes it as "Monoglobus sp900542675 Standard tmRNA". It matches the Rfam family "transfer-messenger RNA". Rfam says of the family: Bacterial tmRNA, also known as 10Sa RNA or SsrA, is named for its dual tRNA and mRNA-like properties. RNAcentral also lists the same sequence under 1 other name. The record is from RNAcentral. Lineage: Bacteria; Bacillati; Bacillota; Clostridia; Monoglobales.